AGGAAUAUUGGUCAAUGGCCGGAAGGCUGAACCAGCCAUGCCGCGUGAAGGUCAGUGCCCUAUGGGCGUUAAACUUCUUUUGUGCGGGAGCAAUAAGGUCCACGUGUGGGCCGACGAGAGUACCGUACGAAUAAGCAUCGGCUAACUCCGUGCCAGCAGCCGCGGUAAUACGGGGGAUGCAAGCGUUAUCCGGAUUUAUUGGGUUUAAAGGGUGCGUAGGCUGUGAGGUAAGUCAGCGGUGAAAUGCCCCCGCUCAACGGGGUGAAGUGCCAUUGAUACUGCCUUGCUGGAAUGCGGAUGCCGUGGGAGGAAUGUGUGGUGUAGCGGUGAAAUGCAUAGAUAUCACGAAGAACUCCGAUUGCGAAGGCAGCUCACUGGACUGGUCACUGACACUGAGGCUCGAAAGUGUGGGUAUCAAACAGG
Molecule: ribosomal RNA, 423 nt
Filed under: uncultured bacterium
Lineage: Bacteria
Description: bacterial SSU rRNA
Rfam family: Bacterial small subunit ribosomal RNA
Source: RNAcentral